UAAACCUUCGGGGCCUGAAGAUGAGCCUGCGUCUGAUUAGGUAGUUGGAGGGGUAAUGGCCCACCAAGCCUGCGAUCAGUAGCUGGUCUGAGAGGAUGAUCAGCCACACUGGAACUGAGACACGGUCCAGACUCCUACGGGAGGCAGCAGUAAGGAAUAUUGCUCAAUGGCCGAAAGGCUGAAGCAGCAACGCCGCGUGGAGGAUGAAAUACUUUAGUAUGUAAACUCCUGUAAGAGGGGAAAAUAUACAGUUCUGCUGUAUUGAUUGUACCCUCAGAGUAAGCACCGGCUAACUACGUG
RNAcentral lists this ribosomal RNA (300 nucleotides) under uncultured bacterium. Its description in RNAcentral is "bacterial SSU rRNA". It matches the Rfam family "Bacterial small subunit ribosomal RNA", at positions 202 to 507 of the family's 1533-position model. The record is from RNAcentral.